RNAcentral lists this ribosomal RNA (279 nucleotides) under Triticum aestivum (bread wheat). RNAcentral describes it as "partial small subunit ribosomal RNA". The record is from RNAcentral. Lineage: Eukaryota; Viridiplantae; Streptophyta; Magnoliopsida; Poales; Poaceae.
AUGCAAGUGCACACAGGGUUGGGGAGGAAACCAGAUGGAACCAUUGAUGCCGACUAUGACUUCUGGAUAACACACACAGAGAAACGAUACCUAAGGAAGUUGCAGUGGGGUCCUCCAGCAAACGAGGAGUUGCUUGAUCAACUGUUCAGAGGUUGCAUCGUGGAUGGAAGCACAACCUUUGUCCCUGGAGAUGAUUAUGGUCAGAAUCAAGGGCAAGAUGCAGGGGCAGAAGAGGAAGAAGAGGAGUUUCAAGGAACACCUACAAGUACAAGCAACUAG